AACAGAAAGAAAAGUACCGUCUGAACGUGUGUGGUGAAGGGGGCGAGUAUGAAUCUUUCACUCUUGACUGUCCAAUUUUUAGAAAGCGUAUAGUAGUACAUGAAACAGAAAUAGUGGAAACUGCAGGAGGUGUUGGUUACUUGAAUCUGAAGUCUUUAGAACUAGUUGAUAAAGAGAUACCUGAUGACAUGAGUCAGCUGGAGUUAGUGAAAGCGGCUGGUAUUCGUGGACCCAGAAGAGUUCCUGAGUGACCUAAACUUGGCAGAGGAAGAACAGCAGGCAGAGGACCAGGCCAAGGAAUCUAUAUAGAAGACAAUGAUGCUUCUAUAACCAGGUAUGAGCCCUUUCAUGCGACCACAAACUCUUCCUGAAGUG
RNAcentral lists this long non-coding RNA (375 nucleotides) under Homarus americanus (American lobster). Its description in RNAcentral is "uncharacterized LOC121865379". Lineage: Eukaryota; Metazoa; Arthropoda; Malacostraca; Decapoda; Nephropidae. The record is from RNAcentral.